Molecule: ribosomal RNA, 490 nt
Filed under: uncultured bacterium
Lineage: Bacteria
Description: partial 16S ribosomal RNA
Rfam family: Bacterial small subunit ribosomal RNA
Source: RNAcentral
AUUGAACGCUGGCGGCAGGCCUAACACAUGCAAGUCGAACGGUAACAGGAAGCAGCUUGCUGCUUUGCUGACGAGUGGCGGACGGGUGAGUCAUGUCUGGGAAACUGCCCGAUGGAGGGGGAUAACUACUGGAAACGGUAGCUAAUACCGCAUAACGUCGCAAGACCAAAGAGGGGGACCUUAGGGCCUCUUGCCAUCGGAUGUGCCCAGAUGGGAUUAGCUAGUAGGUGGGGUAACGGCUCACCUAGGCGACGAUCCCUAGCUGGUCUGAGAGGAUGAACAGCCACACUGGAACUGAGACACGGUCCAGACUCCUACGGGAGGCAGCAGUGGGGAAUAUUGCACAAUGGGCGCAAGCCUGAUGCAGCCAUGCCGCGUGUAUGAAGAAGGCCUUCGGGUUGUAAAGUACUUUCAGCGGGGAGGAAGGGAGUAAAGUUAAUACCUUUGCUCAUUGACGUUACCCGCAGAAGAAGCACCGGCUAACUCCGUG